This 1346-nucleotide ribosomal RNA is filed under the name uncultured bacterium. RNAcentral describes it as "bacterial SSU rRNA". It matches the Rfam family "Bacterial small subunit ribosomal RNA", at positions 28 to 1381 of the family's 1533-position model. The record is from RNAcentral.
GACGAACGCUGGCGGCGUGCUUAACACAUGCAAGUCGAACGGAAAGGCCCUGCUUUUGUGGGGUGCUCGAGUGGCGAACGGGUGAGUAACACGUGAGUAACCUGCCCUUGACUUUGGGAUAACUUCAGGAAACUGGGGCUAAUACCGGAUAGGAGCUCCUGCUGCAUGGUGGGGGUUGGAAAGUUUCGGCGGUUGGGGAUGGACUCGCGGCUUAUCAGCUUGUUGGUGGGGUAGUGGCUUACCAAGGCUUUGACGGGUAGCCGGCCUGAGAGGGUGACCGGCCACAUUGGGACUGAGAUACGGCCCAGACUCCUACGGGAGGCAGCAGUGGGGAAUAUUGCACAAUGGGCGGAAGCCUGAUGCAGCAACGCCGCGUGCGGGAUGACGGCCUUCGGGUUGUAAACCGCUUUCGCCUGUGACGAAGCGUGAGUGACGGUAAUGGGUAAAGAAGCACCGGCUAACUACGUGCCAGCAGCCGCGGUGAUACGUAGGGUGCGAGCGUUGUCCGGAUUUAUUGGGCGUAAAGGGCUCAUAGGUGGUUGAUCGCGUCGGAAGUGUAAUCUUGGGGCUUAACCCUGAGCGUGCUUUCGAUACGGGUUGACUUGAGGAAGGUAGGGGAGAAUGGAAUUCCUGGUGGAGCGGUGGAAUGCGCAGAUAUCAGGAGGAACACCAGUGGCGAAGGCGGUUCUCUGGGCCUUUCCUGACGCUGAGGAGCGAAAGCGUGGGGAGCGAACAGGCUUAGAUACCCUGGUAGUCCACGCUGUAAACGGUGGGUACUAGGUGUGGGGUCCAUUCCACGGGUUCCGUGCCGUAGCUAACGCUUUAAGUACCCCGCCUGGGGAGUACGGCCGCAAGGCUAAAACUCAAAGGAAUUGACGGGGCCCCGCACAAGCGGCGGAGCAUGCGGAUUAAUUCGAUGCAACGCGUAGAACCUUACCUGGGUUUGACAUGGAUCGGGAGCGCUCAGAGAUGGGUGUGCCUCUUUUGGGGUCGGUUCACAGGUGGUGCAUGGCUGUCGUCAGCUCGUGUCGUGAGAUGUUGGGUUAAGUCCCGCAACGAGCGCAACCCUUGUUCACUGUUGCCAGCACGUUAUGGUGGGGACUCAGUGGAGACCGCCGGGGUCAACUCGGAGGAAGGUGGGGAUGACGUCAAGUCAUCAUGCCCCUUAUGUCCAGGGCUUCACGCAUGCUACAAUGGCUGGUACAGAGAGUGGCGAGCCUGUGAGGGUGAGCGAAUCUCGGAAAGCCGGUCUCAGUUCGGAUUGGGGUCUGCAACUCGACCUCAUGAAGUCGGAGUCGCUAGUAAUCGCAGAUCAGCAACGCUGCGGUGAAUACGUUCCCGGGGCU